Molecule: long non-coding RNA, 1994 nt
Organism: Caretta caretta (loggerhead turtle)
Lineage: Eukaryota; Metazoa; Chordata; Testudines; Cheloniidae
Source: RefSeq, a predicted model, not a curated record
AGCGGGCGGGUGCGGGCGCUGUGAAUGGGGAGCGGGCCUGCCCGAGGCUUUGGCCCCGCUGUCGCCCUCCGAGGCGUCCCCAGGCUGGCUUAGGGGCGCCGGGGUGACCUCGCCUGGCAGGCCCCAAGGAAGGAACUGGGUGGACUGAGUGAGCAGUGCCCCUCUCUGUCUGACGCCUAGCAAGGGGGGUCCUGGGGACCCCACCAGGAGAAGUUAAAAUGAAAAGUAAGGGAGGGGAGGCUAGAGGGCCUGGGCACCUUUAGGUGCAGUACCAGGCCCGCAGGAGGAUUGCCAGGUCUGAGCUGUGGAAGCAGAAAUUGGCUUUUCCUUUCCAGAUUUAUCCAGUAUUCAGAAAGGGGAAUCUAGCACCUUCCUUCCCGAUUUGAACACACUCAACAUUCAGGGGUGCUCAAGCUCAAUUUAGGCUGCUGUUACUUCAUUUCUCCCAAAUCAAAAAUGCUGAUCCGCUGUAACUUGCUGUAGAAAAACUGGAUAAAAUUGAGAGACAAAUGCUGGGGUCUUCCCAGUGCUAACUCGGACUGGAAUUGCUAUUUUCAACAGCCAUUACCAUUUUUUCUUUAGUUUUUUUUUGUUUAAAAGGAAGACAGUAAUAUUGCACUGGGAAAUUCCCCACAGAAACGAAGAGCGGAAGAAAAGAAUAACAAAGGCACCUCAACUUUUCCUCAUUUAUCUAGGACAGUCUUAUCAUAUGGAUCCAGAUAUCCUCCAAUCACACAAGCUGAAAAUUGUUCCACUUUACCACAGUUCUGUAACCGUGCGGGAACCAGUCCUGUCUGUGUUCUGUGCACAUCCAAAAUCCCUCCUGAAUUCAGAAGAGCCUUGCUUUUGUGACCACACUACCAGAUAUUUUCAGCCUUGGUAUUUCAUACGUGAAUGAGAAUGGACCCUCAGCCAUAAUUUUGUUGAACUGACUGAGCCUGAACUGAACAGAAAAACAAACCAAACCUGUGCACGUCGGCGGAAGCACUCUAUGUAGAACUCCAGUCUGCUGUUUCGACCUUCAGGAGGAGUCCACCUAGAAUCCUUCUUUUUGUAAUGUUGGUAGGGAGGCCUCUGUGGAUUAGUAUGUUCUUCAGAGGUGUGUUGGAAAUAUUCCUUGAGUCGGAGACGUCGAAAAUAGGAUUCUAGGUCACCACAGAACUGUAUCAUGUUCGUGAGGGUGGAGGGGCAGAAGGAGAGGCCCUACAACCUAUCCGGAAGGAUGACCCAACACUCUCACAAAUCUUGGGAGACAGGCCAGUCCUUGCCUACAGACAGCCCCCCAACCUGAAGCAAAUACUCACCAACAACCACAUACCACACAACAGAACCACUAACCCAGGAACCUAUCCUUGCAACAAAGCCCGUUGCCAACUGUGCCCACAUAUCUAUUCAGGGGACACCAUCACAGGGCCUAAUAACAUCAGCCACACUAUCAGAGGCUUGUUCACCUGCACAUCCACCAAUGUGAUAUAUGCCAUCAUGUGCCAGCAAUGCCCCUCUGCCACGUACAUUGGUCAAACUGGACAGUCUCUACGUAAAAGAAUAAAUGGACACAAAUCAGAUGUCAAGAAUUAUAACAUUCAUAAACCAGUCGGAGAACACUUCAAUCUCUCUGGUCACGCAAUCACAGACAUGAAGGUCGCUAUCUUAAAACAAAAAAACUUCAAAUCCAGACUCCAGCGAGAAACUGCUGAAUUGGAAUUCAUUUGCAAAUUGGAUACUAUUAAUUUAGGCUUAAAUAGAGACUGGGAGUGGCUAAGUCAUUAUGCAAAGUAGCCUGUUUCCUCUUGUUUUUUCCUACCCCCCCCCCCCCCCCAGAUGUUCUGGUUUAACUUGGAUUUAAACUUGGAGAGUGGUCAGUUUAGAUGAGCUAUUACCAGCAGGAGAGUGAGUUUGUGUGUGUAUGGGGGUGGGGGGGAAGUGAGAAAACCUGGAUCUAUGCAGGAAAUAGCCCGACUUGAUUAUGUAAAGAGUUGUCACUUUGGAUGGGC